This is a long non-coding RNA of Carassius gibelio (silver crucian carp), 338 nucleotides long. RefSeq lists it as uncharacterized. Lineage: Eukaryota; Metazoa; Chordata; Actinopteri; Cypriniformes; Cyprinidae. The transcript has 3 exons. The record is from RefSeq and is a predicted model, not a curated record.
UGGUUUCCUCUUGUGACAUGUUUCAGCUCAGACAAGGAAGUGAGCGUGCUGAAUGAACCAUCACGGUUUUUUCCCUCCUUAGCACAUUUUCUUCAUUCUGAAUGCAGAACUAUUGGACGUCUGAUGCAAGAUGGAAAACCUGCAUACGCCGCUGCCAGUCUUUCACGUCAGUCUAUUACUUCGAAAGACGGGGCAUGCAGUCGGGUAUUGCGGGACGCCACUCUCCAUGCUGACACUUUGACCGAUGGUGGCGUUUGGGUAGAAUGUAGCCGGUCUCGCAGAAAAAGCUAAUGAUGCUUUUUUGAGGGAAACCACGACAGGGAGAGGGUUCACAGCGG